UACCGAGUUUACAACUCACAAACCCUUAUGUGAACCGUACCUAUCGUUGCUUCGGCGGGAACGCCCCGGCGCCCUGCGCCCGGAUCCAGGCGCCCGCCGGAGACCCCAAACUCUUGUGUUUUUUUCAGUAUUCUCUGAGUGGCAAACGCAAAAAUAAAUCAAAACUUUUAACAACGGAUCUCUUGGCUCUGGCAUCGAUGAAGAACGCAGCGAAAUGCGAUAAGUAAUGUGAAUUGCAGAAUUCAGUGAAUCAUCGAAUCUUUGAACGCACAUUGCGCCCGUUAGCAUUCUAGCGGGCAUGCCUGUCCGAGCGUCAUUUCAACCCUCAGGGUCCCCGUUCCGGCGGGGAACCUGGUGUUGGGGAUCGGCCCGCCCCGUGCGGCGCCGUCCCCCAAAUUCAGUGGCGGUCUCGCUGCAGCCUCCCCUGCGUAGUAGUUACAACCUCGCAUCGGAGCUCAGCGCGGCCACGCCGUAAAACCCCCGACUUUCUGAACGUUGACCUCGGAUCAGGUAGGAAUACCCGCUGAACUUAAGCAUAUCAAUAAGCGGAGGA
This 553-nucleotide ribosomal RNA is filed under the name Stachybotrys chartarum. Its description in RNAcentral is "eukaryotic LSU rRNA". The stretch from base 163 to 316 matches the Rfam family "5.8S ribosomal RNA". Lineage: Eukaryota; Fungi; Ascomycota; Sordariomycetes; Hypocreales; Stachybotryaceae. The record is from RNAcentral.